This 1320-nucleotide ribosomal RNA is filed under the name Bacillus sp. FJAT-25778. RNAcentral describes it as "bacterial SSU rRNA". It matches the Rfam family "Bacterial small subunit ribosomal RNA", at positions 56 to 1359 of the family's 1533-position model. The record is from RNAcentral. Lineage: Bacteria; Bacillati; Bacillota; Bacilli; Caryophanales; Bacillaceae.
UGCAAGUCGAGCGGACAGAUGGGAGCUUGCUCCCUGAUGUUAGCGGCGGACGGGUGAGUAACACGUGGGUAACCUGCCUGUAAGACUGGGAUAACUCCGGGAAACCGGGGCUAAUACCGGAUGGUUGUCUGAACCGCAUGGUUCAGACAUAAAAGGUGGCUUCGGCUACCACUUACAGAUGGACCCGCGGCGCAUUAGCUAGUUGGUGAGGUAACGGCUCACCAAGGCGACGAUGCGUAGCCGACCUGAGAGGGUGAUCGGCCACACUGGGACUGAGACACGGCCCAGACUCCUACGGGAGGCAGCAGUAGGGAAUCUUCCGCAAUGGACGAAAGUCUGACGGAGCAACGCCGCGUGAGUGAUGAAGGUUUUCGGAUCGUAAAGCUCUGUUGUUAGGGAAGAACAAGUGCCGUUCAAAUAGGGCGGCACCUUGACGGUACCUAACCAGAAAGCCACGGCUAACUACGUGCCAGCAGCCGCGGUAAUACGUAGGUGGCAAGCGUUGUCCGGAAUUAUUGGGCGUAAAGGGCUCGCAGGCGGUUUCUUAAGUCUGAUGUGAAAGCCCCCGGCUCAACCGGGGAGGGUCAUUGGAAACUGGGGAACUUGAGUGCAGAAGAGGAGAGUGGAAUUCCACGUGUAGCGGUGAAAUGCGUAGAGAUGUGGAGGAACACCAGUGGCGAAGGCGACUCUCUGGUCUGUAACUGACGCUGAGGAGCGAAAGCGUGGGGAGCGAACAGGAUUAGAUACCCUGGUAGUCCACGCCGUAAACGAUGAGUGCUAAGUGUUAGGGGGUUUCCGCCCCUUAGUGCUGCAGCUAACGCAUUAAGCACUCCGCCUGGGGAGUACGGUCGCAAGACUGAAACUCAAAGGAAUUGACGGGGGCCCGCACAAGCGGUGGAGCAUGUGGUUUAAUUCGAAGCAACGCGAAGAACCUUACCAGGUCUUGACAUCCUCUGACAAUCCUAGAGAUAGGACGUCCCCUUCGGGGGCAGAGUGACAGGUGGUGCAUGGUUGUCGUCAGCUCGUGUCGUGAGAUGUUGGGUUAAGUCCCGCAACGAGCGCAACCCUUGAUCUUAGUUGCCAGCAUUCAGUUGGGCACUCUAAGGUGACUGCCGGUGACAAACCGGAGGAAGGUGGGGAUGACGUCAAAUCAUCAUGCCCCUUAUGACCUGGGCUACACACGUGCUACAAUGGACAGAACAAAGGGCAGCGAAACCGCGAGGUUAAGCCAAUCCCACAAAUCUGUUCUCAGUUCGGAUCGCAGUCUGCAACUCGACUGCGUGAAGCUGGAAUCGCUAGUAAUCGCGGAUCAGCAUGCCG